RNAcentral lists this long non-coding RNA (1157 nucleotides) under Linum usitatissimum (flax). RNAcentral's name for it is "long non-coding RNA (LUSI_LNC007258)". Lineage: Eukaryota; Viridiplantae; Streptophyta; Magnoliopsida; Malpighiales; Linaceae. The record is from RNAcentral.
AAUAAGGACUGGGACAAAUCUAUCGAAAUAAGGUUUUCAAAACUCGAAAGCAAUCCAACAACCGGAUGGACUAGUUACCUAGCCAACCAAUCAAUCACAUGGUCGAAGGGAGGGUCUAAAUCUCAAUAAAUUGAAGGUGCAUGAAGAGGGCGUGAUAACCCGAGUACUAUAAACCGAAUCCGCUAUCCUAGCAACGAGGUGGUAAUAAUAAUAUGAACUGAAAAACAGCCUAAGGCGGAAAUUUGCUUCGUUAUUUCAUGGGGGUCUGAUUUGAUUACCAGGCCGAAAUGCUCCUUUAAUAGAGAAGGAGAGUGGCCGAAUUUGCUACUGAAAAUGCUAAAAAAUAGGGUUAGAAGAGAACCUUGCUAGGCAAGUCCUCUUCAUCCUUUAGGCUAGAGUCUUGACUAUGUCAAUUCUUGCUCCCAAGGAUCCCAAUCAGCCAAGGAACCUUCUAGGAAGGUGUCCUUGGGACUUCCUAUAAUAAUCCUAUCUACAAAACGGAAACCAAACACAAUGUAAGUUUGCAUCAACAAAGAAAACAGUAAUGUGCUUAGUGAGUCGUGCACCUUCGUGGUGGGUAGAGGACUCGAUCUCGGGCCUUGGACAUACUGAUAACAGCACCAUGAGUGAUUGAUGAGCUCCUUGUGCGACCGAAACUGAUCCGAAAUCCAAGUUUUUGAAGGAACCAUCAUUUUGGAAGCUAUGACAUCAACGUAGCGAGUCCACUUGUGGGCUUCGACUCCAAACUCGUUUCUCCUUGCUCCUAGUGGCCUUGUUGGUCUUAAGAUAGCCCAUUAAGCUCCUGGACCAAAGGUAGUACCGGCAAAGUCUUCUAAUUUUGGCCACGGUGCGACCGAAACUGAUUCGAAAUCCAAGUUUUUGAAAGAACCAUCAUUUCGGAAGCUCUAUCAUCAAUGUAGCGAGUCCACUUGUGGCUUCGACUCCAGACUCCUUUUUCCUUGCUCCCAGCCCCCUUUUUGGUUGUAAUAUAGCUGCUAUAGCCGUUUAAGCUCAUGGGUGAAAGCUAGUACGAGAAAAGUCUUCUCAUUUGGGCCAGGUUUGGACUUGGUGUAAUCCUCUUAUAUCGGUGGACCUGAUUUCAAGCAACUUUAGGCCUUCGAAUUAAAUUAGGCUCCAAUUGCACCCAUAGUCAGGAA